RNAcentral lists this ribosomal RNA (484 nucleotides) under uncultured bacterium. RNAcentral's name for it is "partial 16S ribosomal RNA". It matches the Rfam family "Bacterial small subunit ribosomal RNA", at positions 29 to 507 of the family's 1533-position model. The record is from RNAcentral.
AUUGAACGCUGGCGGCAUGCCUUACACAUGCAAGUCGAACGGCAGCGCGGGCUUCGGCCUGGCGGCGAGUGGCGAACGGGUGAGUAAUACAUCGGAACGUGCCCAGUAGCGGGGGAUAGCUCGGCGAAAGCCGGAUUAAUACCCCAUACGAACUGAGGGCGAAAGCGGGGGAUCUUCGGACCUCGGGGCAUUGGAGCGGCCGAUGGCCGAUUAGCGAGUUGGUGGGGUAAAGGCCUACCGAGGCGACGAUCUGUAGCUGGUCUGAGAGGACGACCAGCCACACUGGGACUGAGACACGGCCCAGACUCCUACGGGAGGCAGCAGUGGGGAAUUUUGGACAAUGGGCGAAAGCCUGAUCCAGCAAUGCCGCGUGUGUGAUGAAGGCCUUCGGGUUGUAAAGCACUUUUGGCGGGAACGAAAAGGACUGUGCCAAUACCACGGUUCGAUGACGGUACCCGCAGAAUAAGCACCGGCUAACUACGUG